This 1454-nucleotide ribosomal RNA is filed under the name metagenome. RNAcentral describes it as "bacterial SSU rRNA". It matches the Rfam family "Archaeal small subunit ribosomal RNA". The record is from RNAcentral.
CUGGUUGAUCCCGCUGGAGACUACUGCUAUCAGGGUUCGGCUAAGCCAUGCGAGUCGAGAGGGGUUAAGCCCUCGGCGAACUGCUCAGUAACACGUAGCUAACUUACCCUAAAGUGGAGGAUAAACUUGGGAAACUGAGACGAAUACUCCAUAGACGAUUGAGGCUGGAAGGCGCUUUCGUUGAAAGAUUUAUCGCUUUAGGAUAGGGCUGCGGCCUAUCAGCCUGUUGUUGGGAUAAAAGCCCAACAAAGCUAUGACGGGUACGGGUCAUGAGAGUGAUUGCCCGGAGAUGGAUUCUGAGACAUGAAUCCAGGCCCUACGGGGCGCAGCAGGCGCGAAAACUUCUCAAUGGGCGCAAGCCUGAAGAGGGAACCUUGAGUGAUAUCGGCUAAGCUGGUAUCUUUUCUAUACUGUAAAUAGGUAGAGGAAUAAGUGGUGGGCAAGACGGUUGCCAGCCGCCGCGGUAAUAACCGCGCCACGAGUUGUAGUCACGAUUAUUGGGUCUAAAGCAUCCGUAGCUGGUUUGACAAGUCUUCGGUGAAAUCCGGCAGCAAACUGUCGGGCGUGCCGAAGAUACUAUCAGACUAGAGACUGGGAGAGGUCUGGAGUACUUCGGAGGUAGGGGUAAAAUCCUUUAAUCUCCGAGGGACUACCUGUGGCGAAGGCGCCAGACUAGAACAGAUCUGACAGUGAGGGAUGAAAGCUAGGGGAGCGAUCGGGAUUAGAUACCCCGGUAGUCCUAGCCGUAAACGAUGCCCGCUUGGUGUUACAAGAUCUUAGUGAUCUUGUUGUGCCGAAGCGAAGGCGAUAAGCGGGCCACCUGGGGAGUACGACCGCAAGGUUGAAACUUAAGGGAGUUGGCGGGGGAGCACUACCAGGGGUGGAGGCUGCGGUUCAAUUGGAUUCAACGCCGGGAACCUCACCAGCAAAGACAGCAGGAUGAGGGUCACUCUGAAGGGGUUACCUGACAAGCUGAGAAGAGCUGCAUGGCCGUCGUCAGUUCGUGGUGUGAACUGUCCUGUUAAGUCAGGAAACGAACGAGACCCACGCUGCUAGUUGCUAAUGCUCUGUACGCAGAGCAUGCACUCUAGCGGGACCGCUGGUGCUAAAUCAGAGGAAGGAGUGGGCGACGGCAGGUCAGUAUGGCCUGAAUUUGCUUGGCUACACGCGGCCUACAAUGCUUAGGACAAUGGGAUGCGACUCCGUAAGGAGAAGCCAAUCUCCUAAACCUAGGCCUAGUUCGGAUCGAGGGCUGCAACUCGCCCUCGUGAAGCCGGAAUCCCUAGUAAGCGAAGGUCAUCAUCUUUCGCUGAAUACGUCCCUGCUCCUUGCACACACCGCCCGUCAAGCCAACCGAAUGGGGUUUUGGUGAAACUUGUGAUGAACAAUUUGAACCAGAACUCUGUAAGGAGGGCUAAGUCGUAACAAGGUAGCCGUACGGGAACGUGCGGCUG